UACGGGGGAGGCAAGCGUUGUUCGGAAUUACUGGGCGUAAAGGGCUCGUAGGCGGCCAACUAAGUCAGACGUGAAAUCCCUCGGCUUAACCGGGGAACUGCAUCUGAUACUGGAUGGCUUGAGUUCGGGAGAGGGAUGCGGAAUUCCAGGUGUAGCGGUGAAAUGCGUAGAUAUCUGGAGGAAUACCGGUGGCGAAGGCGGCAUCCUGGACCGACAUUGACGCUGAGGAGCGAAAGCCAGGGGAGCAAACGGG
RNAcentral lists this ribosomal RNA (253 nucleotides) under uncultured bacterium. RNAcentral's name for it is "partial 16S ribosomal RNA". It matches the Rfam family "Bacterial small subunit ribosomal RNA", at positions 524 to 776 of the family's 1533-position model. The record is from RNAcentral.